This 397-nucleotide ribosomal RNA is filed under the name uncultured Lactobacillus sp. RNAcentral's name for it is "bacterial SSU rRNA". It matches the Rfam family "Bacterial small subunit ribosomal RNA", at positions 149 to 525 of the family's 1533-position model. The record is from RNAcentral. Lineage: Bacteria; Bacillati; Bacillota; Bacilli; Lactobacillales; Lactobacillaceae.
CCUGGAAACAGAUGCUAAUACCGGAUAACAACAGAUGAUGCCUAUCAAACUGUUUAAAAAAGUAUGGUUCUGCUAUCACUCUUGGAUGGACCUGCGGUGCAUUAGCUAGUUGGUAGGGUAACGGGCCUACCAAGGCGAUGAUGCAUAGCCGAGUUGAGAGACUGAUCGGCCACAUUGGGACUGAGACACGGCCCAAACUCCUACGGGAGGCAGCAGUAGGGAAUCUUCCACAAUGGACGCAAGUCUGAUGGAGCAACGCCGCGUGAGUGAAGAAGGGUUUCGGGCUCGUAAAGCUCUGUUGUUGGUGAAGAAGGACAGGGGUAGUAACUGACCUUUGUUUUGACGGUAAUCAAUUAGAAAGUCACGGGCUAACUACGUGCCAGCAGCCGCGGUAAAU